AUUGGGUGGGAGAGAGAGGAGACAAAGAAGAUAUCAGGUGGGAGAAAGAGAAGUAGGGAGAGAACAGAGAGGAGAGACAGUGGGAGAGAGAUGAGGUAGAAGAGAGGAGAGAGAGAGAGAGAUCAAGAGGGAAAGCGAUGAGAGAAGAGAGAGGACACAGAGGGGAGAGAUCUGGUGGGAGAAAGGAGUGGGGAGUUAGUGGAGAGAGAGAUUACAUACGGUUUUUUAAGCCUUCGGGCCUAAUUAUGGGCUCUAUUUAAAUAAGUAUAUGUAUCAGAUAUUUUCUAGCAAUCUACUUUCGUGAUUGAAAGUUAAUCUUAUAAUAAUCAAAAUCUUCUUUGUAGAUAAGGUGGAUCUUAGAUCAUAAUGAUAUAGGUAGGACUCUUUCAAAUAGGGACCCGCAUUUUCUUUCCAUCCAUGCUAGUCC
RNAcentral lists this long non-coding RNA (427 nucleotides) under Phoenix dactylifera (date palm). RNAcentral describes it as "long non-coding RNA (PDAC_LNC004137)". Lineage: Eukaryota; Viridiplantae; Streptophyta; Magnoliopsida; Arecales; Arecaceae. The record is from RNAcentral.